Molecule: small nucleolar RNA, 107 nt
Filed under: Ricinus communis (castor bean)
Lineage: Eukaryota; Viridiplantae; Streptophyta; Magnoliopsida; Malpighiales; Euphorbiaceae
Description: Plant small nucleolar RNA R71
Rfam family: Plant small nucleolar RNA R71
About the family: R71 is a member of the C/D box family of snoRNAs containing the C (UGAUGA) and D (CUGA) box motifs. Multiple nearly identical copies of this snoRNA have been identified in Arabidopsis, and it is thought to function as a 2'-O-ribose methylation guide for 18S ribosomal RNA.
Source: Rfam by way of RNAcentral
AAACCGUGAGGUGGACAACAUCUCAACAAGUCCUUAUACCUCUCCCAGGCGUCAUACAUGCUCUCGUCGUCCAUCUGCACAAAAGAAGAAAUGUCAUUUCUUAAUUU